Molecule: non-coding RNA, 26 nt
Filed under: Homo sapiens (human)
Lineage: Eukaryota; Metazoa; Chordata; Mammalia; Primates; Hominidae
Source: RNAcentral
UGUCAGUAUGGUGAGAGUCAGAAAGA